GUGCCUUGGUUGGUGGUCCUGAUGCAAAUGACUUUUGGGAAGACAGUAGAUACGACUAUGAACAGAAUGAAGUUGCAUGUGACUAUAAUGCAGGAUUUCAAGCUACUCUGGCAGGCUUGAUGUCAAUGGAAGCAAGAGGUAUUCUUCCAGAUUCUUGUAAAGUCUUAGCGGGUGUUUAAUUUCAGUAUAUGGUAUAUAUCAACCUGAUCUCUCUUCAGAAAAUAAAACUUUUAUUUCAAGUCA
This is a long non-coding RNA of Saccoglossus kowalevskii, 243 nucleotides long. Lineage: Eukaryota; Metazoa; Hemichordata; Enteropneusta; Harrimaniidae. The record is from RefSeq and is a predicted model, not a curated record.